AACGAACGCUGGCGGCAGGCUUAACACAUGCAAGUCGAGCGAGACCUUCGGGUCUAGCGGCGGACGGGGGAGUAACGCGUGGGAACGUGCCCUUCUCUACGGAAUAGCCCCGGGAAACUGGGAGUAAUACCGUAUACGCCCUUUGGGGGAAAGAUUUAUCGGAGAAGGGUCGGCCCUCGUUGGAUUCGGUGGUUGGUGGGGUAAUGGCCCACCAAGCCGACGAUCCAUAGCUGGUUGGAGAGGAUGCUCCGCCACACUGGGACUGAGACACGGCCCAGACUCCUACGGGAGGCAGCAGUGGGGAAUCUUAGACGAUGGGGGCAACCCUGAUCAAGCCAUGCCGCGUGAGUGAUGAAGGCCUUAGGGUUGUAAAGCUCUUUCAGCUGGGAAGAUAAUGACGGUACCAGCAGAAGAAGCCCCGGCUAACUCCGUG
This 433-nucleotide ribosomal RNA is filed under the name uncultured bacterium. Its description in RNAcentral is "partial 16S ribosomal RNA". It matches the Rfam family "Bacterial small subunit ribosomal RNA", at positions 29 to 507 of the family's 1533-position model. The record is from RNAcentral.